GUGCUCACUUGGCAGCAUAUAUACUAAAAUUGGAGCAAUACAGAAGUUAUCAUGGUUCCUGCACAAUGAUGAAUUGCAAACAUGUGAAGUGUCCACAUUCUUU
This is a small nuclear RNA of Cricetulus griseus (Chinese hamster), 103 nucleotides long. Lineage: Eukaryota; Metazoa; Chordata; Mammalia; Rodentia; Cricetidae. The record is from Ensembl.